GCUAUUUUAAACUUUUCUUAUCACAUGAUUUCUUUUUAUCUUAUGUGUUUGAUUAUAAUGGUUUGUCUAAAUCAAUAUUUGGCAUGCUAGUUUACUCGUCGUAUUAUUAAAUGCGUACUAUUCCCUAUCUCUUUUUCUCUUUGCAUAAAUUCUUCCGGAUGAGCCCAAUUGGACUCCCCAUAUCCUUGCAUUUGAAUGUCAUCGAGUCGAGCCUUAUUAAAGUUCAAAAUUGGGAUCAUCAAGUCGAGCCUUAUUAAAGUCCAAAAUUGAACGGAUAUACACAGGAUAGCACACGUAUACAAGCUGGUUAUUGAAAAUACUCGUUGGAAAUGGUCUCCAAAGAAGACUUUAAGUUUUGUAUUAUAUUUUUAUAUUUUUAUACUUGUACAAAAUAUUAUCUAGUGAAAACUUUAUUUUUAGAAUGUUGGGUGGGCAUACGUUUACUUAUGCAAUCUUUUACACACGUUUAAUCAGAUUUAG
This 480-nucleotide long non-coding RNA is filed under the name Capsicum annuum. RNAcentral describes it as "long non-coding RNA (CANN_LNC022527)". The record is from RNAcentral. Lineage: Eukaryota; Viridiplantae; Streptophyta; Magnoliopsida; Solanales; Solanaceae.